This 608-nucleotide unclassified non-coding RNA is filed under the name Hevea brasiliensis (rubber tree). Lineage: Eukaryota; Viridiplantae; Streptophyta; Magnoliopsida; Malpighiales; Euphorbiaceae. The record is from RNAcentral.
GUUGGUUAGAGAAAUCAUCACUUGAGUUACCAUUCUCCUACAUGCCCGAUGUCACAAAUGGGUGGCAUUUCUCUUAUUGCCAGUCCAGUUACAUAGUGCAAUUUGACGACUUUACCUCUAUUAGAUGCUGACCAGCUUCGUGGUUUUACAAACCAUGGAGCUCAACUUGAAGUUCUUCAAUCAAAUCACCUCCUUAUCAAACAUAUUUUAGCAUGCGGCAAAUAAGUUGAUUUCAGAUGUUACAUUGGUCUUGAGAACGCUGUUCUUUUGUAAUUCCAAAAUUUUGGGGAGCAAUCAAUGAUCUGUAGUAGAAAUAUAAUGAAGACGUACGGGUAUUAUUCUGCUGCAGUGUACAUUUAGGCGCCAGAAAGCUCUUGCAAGAAGACUAAUAUGUAGAAGAUUGUCCCUGUUUUGUGUGUCGAGGGUAAUGACCUUUUCAGUACUUUGCUACUAUAUUUUGGAUCUUUGAUGGACUGUACAUUGAAUGCUCCUAUUUUGCCUUUUUGGUUAUGGUAUGCAAGUGAAACUAUGCAAUUCCUUUUCCAUAGACGUCCUUUUGUAUUGGUGAGAGAUUGUAUGUGCACAUUUCAUGAAGCGUCAUUUUAAAA